This 378-nucleotide transfer-messenger RNA is filed under the name Methylacidiphilaceae. RNAcentral's name for it is "Methylacidiphilum sp004421255 Standard tmRNA". It matches the Rfam family "transfer-messenger RNA". From Rfam's summary of the family: Bacterial tmRNA, also known as 10Sa RNA or SsrA, is named for its dual tRNA and mRNA-like properties. RNAcentral also lists the same sequence under 2 other names. The record is from RNAcentral. Lineage: Bacteria; Pseudomonadati; Verrucomicrobiota; Methylacidiphilae; Methylacidiphilales.
GGGGGCGUUACCGGUGAUCGAUUCUCCGGUCAAGCUUGAAAACUGUGCAAGCCGAGGGCUCAGGUAGGUUGGCCUCGUAAAAAAACCUGCUAAAAACUUAUAAAUGCCAACGAAGAAUUGGCUCUUGCUGCCUAAAAGAAAGCGGCAAGCGUUCUUUUCCACUUUUCCGGCGGAGUGGAAAAGGGCGUGUUCAUUAGCCGGAGAGCAUCGAAAAGUUUGAACCUUGUAUUCGAUGCUUAAUUUAAAGGUUCACGUUGUGGAAUUUUAGGUUCGCGGUUCCGCUUUUCCACGACGGUUAAAAUGAAAAAACCGCUAAGCUUGUAGGACAAUUUUUAAGCUUCCGAGAAGACGAGGGUUCGACUCCCUCCGCCUCCACCA